This 1996-nucleotide long non-coding RNA is filed under the name Monodelphis domestica (gray short-tailed opossum). RNAcentral's name for it is "lncRNA (ENSMODG00000029173.2)". The record is from RNAcentral. Lineage: Eukaryota; Metazoa; Chordata; Mammalia; Didelphimorphia; Didelphidae.
CAUACUGUGUUCUAAGCUCUCUCCCAGCUCUGACAUUCUCUGUUCUAAGAUCUCUCCCAGCUCUGACAUUCUGGGUUCUAAGCUCUCUCCCAGCUCUGACAUUCUGGGUUCUAAGCUCUCUCCCAGCUCUGACAUUCUCUGUUCUAAGCUCCCUCCCAGCUCUGACAUUCUCUGUUCUAAGGUCUCUCCCAUCUCUGACAUUCUCUGUUCUAAGGUCUCUCCCAGCUCUGACAGUCUCUGUUCUAAGGUCUCUCCCAGCUCUGACAUUCUCUGUUCUAAGCUCUCUCCCAGCUCUGACAUUCUCUGUUCUAAGCUCCCUCCCAGCUCUGACAGUCUCUGUUCUAAGCUCUCUCCCAGCUCUGACAUUCUCUGUUCUAAGCUCUCUCCCAGCUCUGACAUUCUGUUUUCUAAGGUCUCUCCCAGCUCUGACAUUCCCUGUUCUAAGGUCUCUCCCAGCUCUGACAUUCUUUGUUCUAAGCUCUCUCCCAGCUCUGACAGUCUCUGUUCUAAGGUCUCUCCCAGCUCUGACAUUCUCUGUUCUAAGGUCUCUCCCAGCUCUGACAUUUUCUGAUCUAAGGUCUCUCCCAGCUCUGACAUUCUCUGAUCUAAGGUCUCUCCAAGCUCUGACAGUCUCUGUUCUAAGGUCUCUCCCAGCUCUGACAUUCUCUGUUCUAAGAUCUCUCCCAGCUCUGACAUUCUCUGCUCUAAGGUCUCUCCCAGCUCUGACAUUCUCUGUUCUAAGGUCUCUCCCAGCUCUGACAUUCUCUGUUCUAAGUUCCCUCCCAGCUCUGACAUUCUCUGUUCUAAGGUCUCUCCCAGCUCUGACAUUCUCUGUUCUAAGGUCUCUCCCAGCUCUGACAUUCUCUGCUCUAAGGUCUCUCCCAGCUCUGACAUUCUCUGUUCUAAGGUCUAUCCCAGCUCUGACAUUCUCUGUUCUAAGGUCUCUCCCAGCUCUGACAUUCUCUGUUCUAAGGUCUCUCCCAGCUCUGACAUUCUCUGUUCUAAGGUCUCUCCCAGCUCUGACAUUCUCUGUUCUAAGGUCUCUCCCAGCUCUGACAUUCCCUGUUCUAAGGUCUCUCCCAGCUCUGACAUUCUCUGUUCUAAGGUCUCUCCCAGCUCUGACAUUCUCUGUUCUAAGGUCUCUCCCAGCUCUGACAUUCUCUGUUCUAAGGUCUCUCUCAGCUCUGACAUUCUCUGUUCUAAGGUCUCUCCCAGCUCUGACACUCUGUUCUAAGGUCCCUCCCAGCUCUGACAUUCUCUGUUCUAAGGUCUCUCCCAGCUCUGACAGUCUCUGUUCUAAGGUCUCUCAGCUCUGACAUUCUCUGUUCUAAGGUCUCUCCCAGCUCUGACAUUCUCUGUUCUAAGCUCUCUCAGCUCUGACAUUCUCUGUUCUAAGCUCUCUCCCAGCUCUGACAUUCCCUGUUCUAAGGUCUCUCCCAGCUCUGACAUUCUCUGUUCUAAGCUCCUUCCCAGCUCUGACAUUCUCUGUUCUAAGCUCUCUCACCUCUGACAUUCUCUGUUCUAAGCUCUCUCCCAGCUCUGACAUUCCCUGUUCUAAGGUCUCUCCCAGCUCUGACAUUCUCUGUUCUAAGGUCUCUCCCAGCUCUGACAUUCUCUGUUCUAAGGUCUCUCCCAGCUCUGACAUUCUCUGUUCUAAGGUCUCUCCCAGCUCUGACAGUCUCUGUUCUAAGGUCUCUCCCAGCUCUGACAUUCUCUGUUCUAAGGUCUCUCCCAGCUCUGACAUUCUCUGUUCUAAGGUCUCUCCCAGCUCUGACACUCUCUGUUCUAAGCUCUCUCCCAGCUCUGACAUUCUCUGUUCUAAGCUCUCUCUCAGCUCUGACAUUCUCUGUUUCUAGGUCUCUCCCAGCUCUGACAUUCUCUGUUCUAAGGUCUCUCCCAGCUCUGACAUUCUCUGUUCUGAGGAUCCUCCCAGCUCAGACACUGACACCAUUCCCUCCACUGCCCACUGUAUGACCAAAGUGCCUGAAGCAUCAGG